CGCAAAUAUCUCCCCAUUGGCCCUAAUGUAUUUCUUCUCCAAGAAAAUCCUUAUCGUCACUCAGGCUCAGACUUUUUUAACUCGCUGUUGUGGCCACAUUUUUCGGAGUACAGACAUGAAAAACACAUCAUUGUGUUCAUGAAGGACGGAGGAUUCGUACGAUGUUCUUAUUUUCAUUCUGGGACUUAAGGAAAUCACGCUAUGUGAAGAAGUUCACAGGCUUCAAAUCCUCUGCUGUUCAGCUGCUUGUCAUUCAAACAGUAGGUCAGUGAUUUGCCUUUGAUCUCACAGCUGUUUAGGAUGCAGUCAUUAAUGAGACACACACACACACACACACACACACACACAUUCUUGUACUUGUUGCAUUGUCAGGUCUACCUUGCAGUUCACCUGCUUGUACACACAGAUAAUAUGUGUCUGCUUCACCACCUAUCUCCACCCACAAACUUUGAGCUACAGAAACCAUUCUGGGCUUGAAAAAUUCAGCUCAUUGAGGACAUUUUGGGGUGUUUUGAGGAUUUUGAUAAUAAAUUGUAUUAAUGUGUUCAGCAGUUUUUGUGGUUCUCACAAGCUCCUUAUCAUGAAUAUAUACAGAGGAUGAGCGUCAGGGCCUACUUGGAGUCCUGUUUCCUUAGCUUCAAGCCUUCUUUCUCCUGCUAUAGUUAUGCAUCCAAGGUCCCCAUGGCAACCAAUUUGUGCACCUGGAGACACACAGCUGACUAGAAAGCUGCUUUUAAUGGCCAUAUGAGACAUAUGAAGCCAGGCUCAGUACACAUAGCACUGGGGAUGACACUUAAAACCCUUUUCUAGAGCGCUUGAAAAAACUUCAGCUCCUAUCUCCUCACCUGACCUUUGACCUACAGAAACCAUUCAGGGCUUUAAAAUUUAAACUCAUUGAGGACAUUAUGGGGUGUAUUCAGGAUUCAUUUAAAUUUUUCACUUUUAAAAGUCACUCAGUGAUGAUUUAUCAUUUAAUUUUUCAAACUAAUUUAAACUCAUUCAAACUGAUUCAAACCUUUCUAAUACUUUAAAAAUUUCUGAUACUUGAGGAUUUUUGAUUAUUUAAAUUUUCCCUGUUUUAAAUAAGUUUUAAUAUUUAUGCAUUACUCCAUCCUUCAAACAAAAUCCUACCUCAAGUACGACCACUACUGCUAAUGUCAAUUGAACUAGUACUUUCCCCUCUACUUCAACUGCUAUUGCUCCUUUUUCUACUUUCUCUACUUCAACUGCUAUUGCUCCUAUUUCUACCUUCUCUACUACUGUGACUUAUACUUCUUUUAUUCUCAAACUACUUCUACUGCUGACAUGACUACUAGUAUCACGACUUGACCUCCUAUACUACUUCUAGUACUACAACUUAAACUUAUGCCACUUCUCAACUUCCUGCCUUUUAAGGCAGUUUCCUUCUUCAUUCAAACUUUGUGCAAUUUUAGACAUUUUUCUAGCCUCUUUCAGCAUGAAUAAAAUUUCCUUUUAUAGAGCAUAUUCAUACUAUUUGUCCUUCAACCAAUUAAUCAAUUAUCCAACUUACAUUUCUUUUUCACCCCUUCAAACGCUUUAACAUUUAUACCUUUCUCCAUGUUUUAUUAGCAGUUUAGCAUUGCUUUUUCAGCUUUCAGCACUCAGCAUUUCCACGCAUUUUCUGCAAGGAAAUGCAAUUUUUCUAGUUAAGUGGAAAUGCUGAUUAAGCAUUUCCACUUAUUGUUAUUCUCCUGUUUCUUUAUUAAACUUAUUAUUAUUCUUCCGCCGAUUUUUGGACCGCUUCUCCUCCUUCAAACUUUGUCCGAUUUCAACCGUUCAAACUUUAAACUAUUCCACUCAUUCAGGACAUUAUGGCGUCUAUUUUUUUCCUUUCUACCCUUUAUACUUUUUGUUUUUUUUAACUUUUUGUGCAAAAUUUGUACCAUUAAAAAUGAAUGGGGAAAUCUUAAAAUCUACCUUUUCCUCUUCCACCUUCUAGACCUUAUAACUUCAGCAUACUUUCACCUAGAGACCUAAUUUUUGCUUUAAAAUGUUCAUUCACUUGUCGACUAUUAAAGUUGUACUCAGUUUUUUGAUAUCUUUUACAGUUUUUCCACAAUUUAGCUUUAAGCAACUUGUGGUUUUCAGCAAAUUUCAAGCUUUAUAAUGGGUGUGUAUUGGAGAGUUUAGAGUGAUGAUGUCAUCAGCUAGAGUGCAGACCUCGUCUCUGAUCGACAGAACCUCGCUCGAAUAUAUCGCUCCCACGCCCACAAAUCUCACUCCACUGACACAAAUAAUACAUCAAAAUGGAGGUAUAUGUGUCCUGCUUCUCACAAAAGAGGUUUCAAAUCAUUAAAUCGUACCCCUUGGCCAGCAGGUGACCAACUGUCCAAAAAAGGCGGAAAUCUCUCCCAUUGACCAUAAUGUUAUUUUUCUCCAGGAAAAUCCGGAUCAUCGCUCAGGCUCAGACUUUUUUAACUCGCUGUUGUGGCCUCAUUUUUCGAAGUACAGACAUGAAAAACACAUCAUUGUGUUCAUGAAGGACGGAGGAUUCGUACGAUGUUCUUAUUUUCAUUCUGGGACUUAAGGAAAUCACGCUAUGUGAAGAAGUUCACAGGCUGAAAUUCACUGCAGUUCAGCACCUCUCAGUCAAACAGUUGGUUAGUGAUUUGCCUUUGAUCUCACAGCUGUUUAGGAUGCAAUCAUUAACGAGACACACAUACACACACACACACACACACACACACACACACACACACACACACACACACACACACACACACACACAUUCUUGUACUUGUUGCUUUUUGAGGUCCACCUUGCAGUUCAGCUGCUUGUACACACAGUUAAUAUGUGUCUGCUUCACCACCUAUCUCCACCCACAAACUUUGAGCUACAGAAACCAUUCUGGGCUUCAAAAAUUCAGCUCAUUGAAGAUAUUAUGGGGUGUUUUGAGGAUUGUGAUAAUAAAUUGUAUUAAUGUGUUCAGCAGAGUCUUGUGUUCUCACAAGCUCCUUAUGAAUAUAUACAGAGGGUGAGCGUCAGGGCCUACUUGGAGUCCUGUUUCUUUAGCUUCAAGCCUUCUUUCUCCUGCUAUAGUUAUGCAUCCAAGGUCCCCAUGGCAACCAAUUUGUGCACCUGGAGACACACAGCUGACUGGAAAGCUGCUUCUAGUGGCCAUAUGAGACACAUGAAGCCAGGCUCAGUACACAUAGCAAUUGGGAUGACACUUAAAACCCUUUCCUAGAGCGUUGGAAAAAACUUCAGCCCCUAUCUCCUCACAUGACCUUUGACCUACAGAAACCAUUCAGGGCUUUGAAAUUUAAGCUCAUUGAGGACAUUAUUGGGUGUAUUUAGGAUUGUUAUUCAUUUAAAUUUUUCACAUUUUAAAAGUCACUCAGUGAUGAUUUAUCAUUUAAUUUUUCAAACUAAUUUAAACUCAUUCAAACUGAUUCAAACCUUUCUAAUACUUCAAAACUUUCUGAUACUUGAGGACUUUUGAUAAUUUAAAUUUUCCCUGUUUUAAAUUAGUUUUAAUAUUUAUGCAUUACUCCAUCAUUCAAACAAAAUCCUACCUCAAGUACGACAACUACUGCUAAUGUCAAUUAAACUAGAACUUUCCCCUCUACUUCAACUGCUAUUGCUCCUAUUUCUACUUUCUUUACUACUUUGACUUAUACUUCUUUUAUUCUCAAUCUACUUCUACUGCUGACAUGACUACUAGUAUCACGACUUGACUUCUUAUCAUACUACUUCUAGUACUACAACUGAAUCUUAUGCCACUUCUCACCUUCCUGCCUUUUAAGGCAAUUUCCUUCUUCAUUAAAACUUUGUGCAAUUUUCGACAUUUUUCUAGCCUCUUUCAGCAUGAAUAAAAUUUCCUUUUAUAGAGCAUAUUCAUACUAUUUGUCCUUCAACCAAUUAAUCAAUUAUCCAACUUAUAUUUCUGUUCACCCCUUCAACAGCUUUAACAUUUAUACCUUUCUCCAUGUUUUAUUAGCAGUUUAGCAUUGCUUUUUCAGCUUUCAGCACUCAGCAUUUCCACGCAUUUUCUGCAAGGAAAUGCAAUUUUUCUAGUAUUAUACUUAACACUCUCCCCAUACGUUUCUUUGGACCGCUUCUCCUCCUUCAAACUUUGUCCGAUUUCAACCGUUCAAACUUUAAACUAUUACACUCCAUCGGGACAUGAUGGCUAUUACUUUUCUCUUUUCUACCCUUUAUACUUUUUAUUAUUUUUCACUUUUUGUCUCAAACUUUUUUUCCCAUAGAAAUGAAUGGGGAAAUCUUCCAAUUCUUCUUUUUCUUCUUCCACCUUCUAAGCCUUAUAACUUCAGCAUACUUUCACCUAGAGACCUCAUUUUUGCUUUAAAAUGUUCAUUCACUUGUCGACUAUUGAUGUUGUAUUAACUUUUUUGUGCUAUCUUCUACAGUUUUCCCCCAAUUUAGCUUGAAGCACCUCGUGGUUUUCAGCAAUUUUCAGGCUUUAUAAUGGGGGUGUAUUGGAGAGGCUAGAGUGAUGAUUUGAAAAGCUAGAGUGCAGACCUCGUCUCUGAUCGACAGAACCUCGCUCAAAUAUAUCGCUCCCACGCCCACAAAUCUCACUCCACAGCCAUAAAAAAUACAUCAAAAUGGAGGUAUAUGUGUCCUGCUUCUUACAAAAGAGGUUUCGAAUCAUUAAAUGGUACUCCUUGGCCAGCAGGUGACCAACUGUCCAAAUAGGCGGAAAUCUCUCCCCAUUAGACCUAAUGUAUUUCUUCUCCAAGAAAAUCCUUAUCCCCACUCAGGCUCAGACUUUUUUAACUCGCUGUUGUGGCCACAUUUUUCGGAGUACAGACAUGAAAAACACAUCAUUGUGUUCAUGAAGGGCGGAGGAUUCGUACGAUGUUCUUAUUUUCAUUCUGGGACUUAAGGAAAUCACGCUAUGUGAAGAAGUUCAGAGGCUAUAAAUCCUCAGCAGUUCAGCACCUCUCAGUCAAACAGUAGGUCAGUGAUUUGCCUUUGAUCUCACAGCUGUUUAGGAUGCAGUCAUUAACGAGACACACACACACACACACACACACACACACACACACACACACACACACACACACACAUUCUUGUACUUGUUGCAUUGUCAGGUCUACCUUGCAGUUCAGCUGCUUGUACACACAGUUAAUAUGUGUCUGCUUCACCACCUAUCUCCACCCACAAACUUUGAGCUACAGAAACCAUUCUGGGCUUGAAAAAUUCAGCUCAUUGAAGAUAUUAUGGGGUGUUUUGAGGAUUGUGAUAAUAAAUUGUAUUAAUGUGUUCAGCAGAGUCUUGUGUUCUCACAAGCUCCUUAUCAUGAAUAUAUACAGAGGAUGAGCGUCAGGGCCUACUUGGAGUCCUGUUUCCUUAGCUUCAAGCCUUCUUUCUCCUGCUAUAGUUAUGCAUCCAAGGUCCCCAUGGCAACCAAUUUGUGCACCUGGAGACACACAGCUGACUGGAAAGCUGCUUCUAAUGGCCAUAUGAGACACAUGAAGCCAGGCUCAGUACACAUAGCACUGGGGAUGACACUUAAAACCCUUUCCUAGAGCGCUUGAAAAAACUUCAGCCCCUAUCUCCUCACAUGACCUUUGACCUACAGAAACCAUUCAGGGCUUUAAAAUUUAAGCUCAUUGAGGACAUUAUGGGGUGUAUUCAGGAUUUAUAUUCAUUUACAUUUUUCACUUUUAUAAGUCACUCAUUGAUGAUUUAUCAUUUAAUUUUUCAAACUAAUUUAAACUCAUUCAAACUGAUACUUGAGGAUUUUUAAGUAUUUAAAUUUUCCAUGUUUUAAAUUAGUUUUAAUAUUCAUGCAUUACUCCAUCCUUCAAACAAAAUCCUACCUCAAGUACGACAACUACUGCUAAUGUCAAUUUAACUAGUACUUUCCCCUCUACUUCAACUGCUAUUGCUCCUAUUUCUACUUUCUCUACUUCAACUGCUAUUGCUAUAGUUCUUUUAUUCUCAAACUACUUCUACUGCUGACAUGACUACUAGUAUCACGACUUGACUUCUUAUCAUACUACUUCUAGUACUACAACUUAAACUUAUGCCACUUCUCACCUUCCUGCCUUUUAAGGCAAUUUCCUUCUUCAAUCGAACUUUGUGCAAUUUUAGACAUUUUUCUAGCCUCUUUAAGCAUGAAUCAAAUUUCCUUUUAUAGAGCAUAUUCAUACUAUUUGUCCUUACUUACUAUACUUCUUUUUCACCCCUUCAACAGCUUUAACAUUUAUACCUUUCUCCAUGUUUUAUUAGCAGUUUAGCAUUGCUUUUUCAGCUUUCAGCACUCAGCAUUUCCACGCAUUUUCUGCAAGGAAAUGCAAUUUUUCUAGUUAUACUUAACACUCUCCCCAUACGUUUCUUUGGACCGCUUCUCCUCCUUCAAACUUUGUCCGAUUUCAACCGUUCAAACUUUAAACUAUUCCGCUCUAUCAGGACAUGAUGGCUAUUACUUUUCUCUUUUCUACCCUUUAUACUUUUUAUUAUUUUUCACUUUUUGUGCCAAACUUUUUUUCCCAUAGAAAUGAAUGGGGAAAUGUUCCAAUUCUUCCUGUUAUUCGUCCACUUUCUAUGCCUUAUAACUUCAGCAUACUUUCACCUAGAGACCUAAUUUUUGCUUUAAAAUGUUCAUUGUCUUGUCGACUAUUGAUGUUGUAUUAACCUUUUUUUGCUAUCUUUUACAGUUUUUCCACAAUUUAGCUUUAUGCAACUUGUGGUUUUCAGCAAAUUUCAGGCUUUAUAAUGGGGGUGUAUUGGAGAGGCUAGAGUGAUGAUUUGAAAAGCUAGAGUGCAGACCUCGUCUCUGAUCGACAGAACCUCGCUCGAAUAUAUCGCUCCCACGCCCACAAAUCUCACUCCACAGCCAUAAAAAAUACAUCAAAAUGGAGGUAUAUGUGUCCUGCUUCUCAAAAAAGAGGUUUCAAAUCAUUAACUCGUACCCCUUGGCCAGCAGGUGACCAACUGUCCAAAUAGGCGCAAAUCUCUCCCCAUUGGCCCUAAUGUAUUUUUUCUCCAAGAAAAUCCUUAUCGUCCCUCAGGCUCAGACUUUUUUAACUCGCUGUUGUGGCCACAUUUUUUGGAGUACAGACAUGAAAAACAGAUCAUUGUGUUCAUGAAGGAUGGAGGAUUCGUACGAUGUUCUUAUUUUCAUUCUGGGAUUUAAGGAAAUCGUGCUAUGUGAAGAAGUUCAGAACCCUAAAUUCACUGCAGUUCGGCAGCUUCUCCAUUCAAACAAUAGGUUAGUUAAUGCUUUGAUCUCACAGCUGUUUAGGAUGCAAUCAUUAACGAGACACACACACACACACACACACACACACACACACACACACACACAGAUUCUUGUACUUUUUGCUGUCAGGUCUACCUUGCAGUUCAGCUGCUUGUAUACACAGUUAAUAUGUGUCUGCUUCACCACCUAUCUCCACCCACAAACUUUGAGCUACAGAAACCAUUCUGGGCUUCUAAAAUUCAGCUCAUUGAAGAUAUUAUGGGGUGUUUUGAGGAUUGUGAUAAUAAAUUGUAUUAAUGUGUUCAGCAGAGUCUUGUGUUCUCACAAGCUCCUUAUCAUGAAUUUAUACAGAGGAUGAGCAUCAGGGCCUACUUGGAGUCCUGUUUCCUUAGCUUCAAGCCUUCUUUCUCCUGCUAUAGUUAUGCAUCCAAGGUCCCCAUGGCAACCAAUUUGUGCACCUGGAGACACACAGCUGACUGAAAAGCUGCUUCUAAUGGCCAUAUGAGACACAUGAAGCCAGGCUCAGUACACAUAACACUGGGGAUGACAUUUAAAACCCUUUCCUAGAGCGCUUGAAAAAACUUCAGCCCCUAUCUCCUCACAUGACCUUUGACCUACAGAAACCAUUCAGGGCUUUGAAAUUUAAGCUCAUUGAGGACAUUAUUGGGUGUAUUUAGGAUUUAUUUUCAUUUAAAUUUUUCACAUUUUAAAGUCACUCAGUGAUGAUUUAUCAUUUAAUUUUUCAAACUAAUUUAAACUCAUUCAAACUGAUUCAAACCUUUCUAAUACUUCAAAACUUUCUGAUACUUGUGAAAUUUAAUUAUUUAAAUUUUCCAUGUUUAAAUUAGUUUUAAUAUUUAUGCAUUACUCCAUCCUUCAAAAAAAAUCCUACCUCAAGUACGACAACUACUGCUAAUGUCAAUUAAACUAGUACUUUCCCCUCUACUUCAACUGCUAUUGCUCCUAUUUCUACUUUCUUUACUACUUUGACUUAUACUUCUUUUAUUCUCAAUCUACUUCUACUGCUGACAUGACUACUAGUAUCACGACUUGACCUCUUAUCAUACUACUUCUAGUACUACAACUUAAACUUAUGCCACUUCUCACCUUCCUGCCUUUUAAGGCAGUUUCCUUCUUCAUUCAAACUUUGUGCAAUUUUCGACAUUUUUCUAGCCUCUUUCAGCAUGAAUAAAAUUUCCAUUUAUAGAGCAUAGUCAUACUAUUUGUCCUUCAACCAAUUAAACAGUUAUCCAACUUAUAUUUCUUUUUCACCCCUUCAACAGCUUUAACAUUUAUACCUUUCUCCAUGUUUUAUUAGCAGUUUAGCAUUGCUUUUUCAGCUUUCAGCACUCAGCAUUUCCACGCAUUUUCUGCAAGGAAAUGCAAUUUUUCUAGUUAUUAUUAUUAUUCUUCCGUCCCUUUUUUGGACCGCUUCUCCUCCUUCAAACUUUGUCCGAUUUCAACCGUUCAAACUUUAAACUAUUCCACUCCUUCAGGACAUGAUGGCGUCUAUUUUUUUUCUUUCUACCCUUUAUACUUUUUGUUUUUUUUAACUUUUUGUGCAAAAAUUUUAACAUUGAAGUCAAUGGGGAAAUCUUCAACUUCUUCCUUUCAUUCUUCCACCUUCUAGACCUUAUAACUUCAGCAUACUUUCAUCUAGAGACCUCAUUUUUGCUUUAAAAUGUUCAUUCACUUGUCGACUAUUAUAGUUGUACUCAGUUUUUUGAUAUCUUUUACAGUUUUUCCACAAUUUAGCUUUAAGCAACUUGUGGUUUUCAGCAAAUUUCAGGCUUUAUAAUGGGUGUGUAUUGGAGAGUUUAGAGUGAUGAUGUCAUCAGCUAGAGUGCAGACCUCGUCUCUGAUCGACAGAACCUCGCUCGAAUAUAUCGCUCCCACGCCCACAAAUCUCACUCCACUGACACAAAUAAUACAUCAAAAUGGAGGUAUAUGUGUCCUGCUUCUCACAAAAGAGUUUUCAAAUCAUUAAAUCGUACCCCUUGGCCAGCAGGUGACCAACUGUCCAAAUAAGCGCAAAUAUCUCCCCAUUGGCCCUAAUGUAUUUCUUCUCCAAGAAAAUCCUUAUCGUUACUCAGGCUCAGACUUUUUUAACUCGCUGUUGUGGCCACAUUUUUCGGAGUACAGACAUGAAAAACACAUCAUUGUGUUCAUGAAGGACGGAGGAUUCGUACGAUGUUCUUAUUUUCAUUCUGGGACUUAAGGAAAUCGUGCUAUGUGAAGAAGUUCACAGGCUUCAAAACCUCUGCUGUUCAGCUGCUUCUCAUUCAAACAGUAGGUCAGUGAUUUGCCUUUGAUCUCACAGCUGUUAGGGAUGCAGUCAUUAAUGAGACACACACACACACACACACACAUUCUUGUACUUGUUGCAUUGUCAGGUC
Molecule: long non-coding RNA, 9591 nt
Filed under: Xyrichtys novacula (pearly razorfish)
Lineage: Eukaryota; Metazoa; Chordata; Actinopteri; Labriformes; Labridae
Source: RNAcentral